RNAcentral lists this ribosomal RNA (253 nucleotides) under uncultured bacterium. RNAcentral's name for it is "partial 16S ribosomal RNA". It matches the Rfam family "Bacterial small subunit ribosomal RNA", at positions 524 to 776 of the family's 1533-position model. The record is from RNAcentral.
GACGGAGGAUGCAAGCGUUAUCCGGAAUGAUUGGGCGUAAAGCGUCCGCAGGUGGCAGUUCAAGUCUGCUGUCAAAGACCGGGGCUUAACUUCGGAAAGGCAGUGGAAACUGAACAGCUAGAGUAUGGUAGGGGCAGAGGGAAUUCCUGGUGUAGCGGUGAAGUGCGUAGAGAUCAGGAAGAACAUCGGUGGCGAAGGCGCUCUGCUGGACCAUAACUGACACUCAGGGACGAAAGCUAGGGGAGCGAAUGGG